AGGACGAACGCUGGCGGCGUGGAUUAGGCAUGCAAGUUGAGCGACGGAUGGACUUCGGUUCAUUACGGAGCAGCGAACGGGUGAGUAACACGUGAACAAUCUGUCCCUUCAUUCCGGAUAAUUGGAAGAAAUUCCUUGUAAUACGGGCGAGGGUCCUUGGGGUGCAUACUUUGAGGAAGGAAGGCGCAAGCCGUGCAGGGAGGAGUUCGCGGCCUAUCAGUUAGUUGGUGGGUAACGGCCUACCAAGACUACGACGGGUAGCUGGU
RNAcentral lists this ribosomal RNA (266 nucleotides) under uncultured bacterium. RNAcentral describes it as "partial small subunit ribosomal RNA". It matches the Rfam family "Bacterial small subunit ribosomal RNA", at positions 26 to 291 of the family's 1533-position model. The record is from RNAcentral.